CCUCUAUAGGAAAGCAGCAAUUCCAUUUGGUUU
RNAcentral lists this transfer RNA (33 nucleotides) under Podarcis raffonei (Aeolian wall lizard). RNAcentral describes it as "partial tRNA-Leu". The record is from RNAcentral. Lineage: Eukaryota; Metazoa; Chordata; Lepidosauria; Squamata; Lacertidae.